GGGGGCGACCUGGUUUCGACGGGGGUUGCGAAGCAGACGAGGGCAUACCGGGAUUUCAGUCACCCCGUAAAACACUGAAUUUAUAUAGUCGCAAACGACGAAACUUACGCAGUAGCCGCUUAAUAACCGGCUUAGCGCACUGCAACGGCUCGCUGAUGGGCCGUGGAGGCAACUCCCGCAGUGUCAUUUACAUCAGCUAGUUCCGUAUCGGGUCACUUGAUCCGGAAUGAAACUCUAGGUGACUCGCCUCUCCCAAGCCUGCCCGUCGGCGUGGUCGGGGUUAAAUUCAAGUAGACAAGGCUAAGUAUGUAGAACUCCCUGUAGAGGACUUUCGGACGCGGGUUCGAUUCCCGCCGCCUCCACCA
This 365-nucleotide transfer-messenger RNA is filed under the name Paludibacterium paludis. RNAcentral describes it as "Standard tmRNA". It matches the Rfam family "transfer-messenger RNA". From Rfam's summary of the family: Bacterial tmRNA, also known as 10Sa RNA or SsrA, is named for its dual tRNA and mRNA-like properties. Its role is to liberate the mRNA from a stalled ribosome. Lineage: Bacteria; Pseudomonadati; Pseudomonadota; Betaproteobacteria; Neisseriales; Chromobacteriaceae. The record is from Rfam by way of RNAcentral.